ACGAACGCUGGCGGCGUGCUUAACACAUGCAAGUCGAACGGAAAGGCCCUGCUUGCAGGGUGCUCGAGUGGCGAACGGGUGAGUAACACGUGGGUGAUCUGCCCCUUACUUUGGGAUAAGCCUGGGAAACUGGGUCUAAUACUGGAUAGGACCAUGCUGUAGGUGGUGUGGUGGAAAGAUUAGUUUCGGUAAGGGAUGAGCUCGCGGCCUAUCAGCUUGUUGGUGGGGUAAUGGCCUACCAAGGCGUCGACGGGUAGCCGGCCUGAGAGGGUGGACGGACACAUUGGGACUGAGAUACGGCCCAGACGCCUACGGGAGGCAGCAGUGGGGAAGAGUGCACAAUGGGCGCAAGCCUGAUGCAGUGACGCCGCGUGGGGGAUGACGGCCUUCGGGUUGUAAACUCCUUUCAGCCAUGACGAAGCCCUUGUGGUGACGGUAGUGGUAGAAGAAGCACCGGCUAACUACGUG
RNAcentral lists this ribosomal RNA (468 nucleotides) under uncultured bacterium. RNAcentral's name for it is "partial 16S ribosomal RNA". It matches the Rfam family "Bacterial small subunit ribosomal RNA", at positions 29 to 507 of the family's 1533-position model. The record is from RNAcentral.